RNAcentral lists this ribosomal RNA (301 nucleotides) under uncultured bacterium. RNAcentral describes it as "partial 16S ribosomal RNA". It matches the Rfam family "Bacterial small subunit ribosomal RNA", at positions 509 to 807 of the family's 1533-position model. The record is from RNAcentral.
CAGUCGCCGCGGUAAUACGAGGGGAGCUAGCGUUGUUCGGAAUUACUGGGCGUAAAGCGCGCGUAGGCGGCUUUUUAAGUCAGAGGUGAAAGCCCGGGGCUCAACCCCGGAAUUGCCUUUGAAACUGGAAAGCUAGAAUCUUGGAGAGGUCAGUGGAAUUCCGAGUGUAGAGGUGAAAUUCGUAGAUAUUCGGAAGAACACCAGUGGCGAAGGCGACUGACUGGACAAGUAUUGACGCUGAGGUGCGAAAGCGUGGGGAGCAAACAGGAUUAGAUACCCCCGUAGUCCCUGUCUCUUAUAC